AGUAUGUGGUUUAAUUCGAUGCAACGCGAAGAACCUUACCUGGUCUUGACAUCCCGGAGACCCUUAGGAAACUAGGGGGUGCUUCCAUCUGGAAGAAUCUGGAGACAGGUGCUGCAUGGCUGUCGUCAGCUCGUGUCGUGAGAUGUUGGGUUAAGUCCCGCAACGAGCGCAACCCUUGCCUUUAGUUGCCAGCAGUUCGGCUGGGCACUCUAAAGGGACUGCCGGUGUUAAACCGGAGGAAGGUGGGGAUGACGUCAAGUCCUCAUGGCCUUUAUGACCAGGGCUACACACGUACUACAAUGGCCGAUACAAAGGGCAGCGACACUGCGAGGUGAAGCCAAUCCCGUAAAAUCGGUCUCAGUCCGGAUUGGAGUCUGCAACUCGACUCCAUGAAGUUGGAAUCGCUAGUAAUCGUGGAUCAGCAUGCCACGGUGAAUACGUUCCCGGGCCUU
Molecule: ribosomal RNA, 452 nt
Filed under: uncultured Desulfobulbus sp.
Lineage: Bacteria; Pseudomonadati; Thermodesulfobacteriota; Desulfobulbia; Desulfobulbales; Desulfobulbaceae
Description: bacterial SSU rRNA
Rfam family: Bacterial small subunit ribosomal RNA
Source: RNAcentral